UUAAGUGUGCUGUUAAAGUGCCGAGCUUAACUCCAUCAUGGCAGUGGAAACUGUUGGGCUUGAGUGUGGUAGGGGCAGAGGGAAUUCCCGGUGUAGCGGUGAAAUGCGUAGAUAUCGGGAAGAACACCAGUGGCGAAGGCGCUCUGCUGGGCCAUCACUGACGCUCAUGGACGAAAGCCAGGGGAGCGAAAGGGAUUAGAUACCCCUGUAGUCCUGGCCGUAAACGAUGAACACUAGGUGUCGGGGGAAUCGACCCCCUCGGUGUCGUAGCCAACGCGUUAAGUGUUCCGCCUGGGGAGUACGCACGCAAGUGUGAAACUCAAAUG
RNAcentral lists this ribosomal RNA (326 nucleotides) under uncultured bacterium. Its description in RNAcentral is "bacterial SSU rRNA". It matches the Rfam family "Bacterial small subunit ribosomal RNA", at positions 583 to 907 of the family's 1533-position model. The record is from RNAcentral.